ACCAACUGCUGCUCAACCUAACUUGCCUGGUGCAGCAGUUUCACAUAGAACACACUGAGCAAUCACAGCAGCAGACAAGUUAGGUUGAGCAGCAGUUGGUCAGAUAA
Non-coding RNA from Pelobates cultripes (western spadefoot toad), 107 nucleotides. NCBI's taxonomy places the organism in Eukaryota, Metazoa, Chordata, Amphibia, Anura, Pelobatidae. The record is from the annotation of a GenBank genome assembly.